RNAcentral lists this ribosomal RNA (1346 nucleotides) under uncultured bacterium. RNAcentral describes it as "partial 16S ribosomal RNA". It matches the Rfam family "Bacterial small subunit ribosomal RNA", at positions 28 to 1381 of the family's 1533-position model. The record is from RNAcentral.
GACGAACGCUGGCGGCGUGCUUAACACAUGCAAGUCGAACGGAAAGGCCCUGCUUUUGUGGGGUGCUCGAGUGGCGAACGGGUGAGUAACACGUGAGUAACCUGCCCUUGACUUUGGGAUAACUUCAGGAAACUGGGGCUAAUACCGGAUAGGAGCUCCUGCUGCAUGGUGGGGGUUGGAAAGUUUCGGCGGUUGGGGAUGGACUCGCGGCUUAUCAGCUUGUUGGUGGGGUAGUGGCUUACCAAGGCUUUGACGGGUAGCCGGCCUGAGAGGGUGACCGGCCACAUUGGGACUGAGAUACGGCCCAGACUCCUACGGGAGGCAGCAGUGGGGAAUAUUGCACAAUGGGCGGAAGCCUGAUGCAGCAACGCCGCGUGCGGGAUGACGGCCUUCGGGUUGUAAACCGCUUUCGCCUGUGACGAAGCGUGAGUGACGGUAAUGGGUAAAGAAGCACCGGCUAACUACGUGCCAGCAGCCGCGGUGAUACGUAGGGUGUGAGCGUUGUCCGGAUUUAUUGGGCGUAAAGGGCUCGUAGGUGGUUGAUCGCGUCGGAAGUGUAAUCUUGGGGCUUAACCCUGAGCGUGCUUUCGAUACGGGUUGACUUGAGGAAGGUAGGGGAGAAUGGAAUUCCUGGUGGAGCGGUGGAAUGCGCAGAUAUCAGGAGGAACACCAGUGGCGAAGGCGGUUCUCUGGGCCUUUCCUGACGCUGAGGAGCGAAAGCGUGGGGAGCGAACAGGCUUAGAUACCCUGGUAGUCCACGCUGUAAACGGUGGGUACUAGGUGUGGGGUCCAUUCCACGGGUUCCGUGCCGUAGCUAACGCUUUAAGUACCCCGCCUGGGGAGUACGGCCGCAAGGCUAAAACUCAAAGGAAUUGACGGGGCCCCGCACAAGCGGCGGAGCAUGCGGAUUAAUUCGAUGCAACGCGUAGAACCUUACCUGGGUUUGACAUGGAUCGGGAGUGCUCAGAGAUGGGUGUGCCUCUUUUGGGGUCGGUUCACAGGUGGUGCAUGGCUGUCGUCAGCUCGUGUCGUGAGAUGUUGGGUUAAGUCCCGCAACGAGCGCAACCCUUGUUCACUGUUGCCAGCACGUUAUGGUGGGGACUCAGUGGAGACCGCCGGGGUCAACUCGGAGGAAGGUGGGGAUGACGUCAAGUCAUCAUGCCCCUUAUGUCCAGGGCUUCACGCAUGCUACAAUGGCUGGUACAGAGAGUGGCGAGCCUGUGAGGGUGAGCGAAUCUCGGAAAGUCGGUCUCAGUUCGGAUUGGGGUCUGCAACUCGACCUCAUGAAGUCGGAGUCGCUAGUAAUCGCAGAUCAGCAACGCUGCGGUGAAUACGUUCCCGGGGCU